This is a non-coding RNA of Plectropomus leopardus (leopard coralgrouper), 543 nucleotides long. Lineage: Eukaryota; Metazoa; Chordata; Actinopteri; Perciformes; Serranidae. The record is from RefSeq and is a predicted model, not a curated record.
AGGCAGCUCCAUGUCCUUUACCCGGAUGUGACUUCCUUUGAUCCGGAGCCUGACCCCCGUCUUGGCGGCGUGCAGACAUUUUGGCGUGGCGUCUUUGUUGUCCUCGUGGACCAUAUGUCAGCAAUUCGGACUGUUUCCACCAGCAAUCAGUCGGAGCCAGAGAGAAGCGAGUUUUCUGUUCACACCACGGCGCAGGUGGUAAUGAAACAUCAGCGGCUGGCUGAGUCGACCUCGUCUGAGAUUCUGUACACUGAUUCACACCCCAGGAGCCGGUGAUUAUCUUCAGAAAAACUGUCAGUCGAGGAUCGAUGCUAAGCAGUUUCGGACCACAGAGAGUGAACUGACCGAGUGACGCCUGUCAGAGAGUGCUGGGACAACAAGGCAGCAGUACCACCUGCAGCAGGUAUCCCUGCUGAGACACGUGAAGCCAGAUGCCUGAAACAUGAGGUCACUAUCGACACAGCUGCUCUAAAUUAUCUGCCACCAACCAACCGAAAACCCUUACGCCUGUUACUGUCCUCCAAUCGUCUGGCAGGAUCUCAA